RNAcentral lists this ribosomal RNA (593 nucleotides) under Rhodotorula sp. ROV10Q4FVU-07. RNAcentral's name for it is "eukaryotic LSU rRNA". The stretch from base 165 to 318 matches the Rfam family "5.8S ribosomal RNA". Lineage: Eukaryota; Fungi; Basidiomycota; Microbotryomycetes; Sporidiobolales; Sporidiobolaceae. The record is from RNAcentral.
AUUAGUGAAUCUAGGACGUCCAACUUAACUUGGAGUCCGAACUCUCACUUUCUAACCCUGUGCAUCUGUUUUAAAAUUGGCUAGUAGCUCUUCGGAGCGAACCACCAUUUUUCACUUAUACAAACACAAAGUCUAUGAAUGUAAACAAAUUUAUAACAAAACAAAACUUUCAACAACGGAUCUCUUGGCUCUCGCAUCGAUGAAGAACGCAGCGAAAUGCGAUACGUAAUGUGAAUUGCAGAAUUCAGUGAAUCAUCGAAUCUUUGAACGCACCUUGCGCUCCUUGGUAUUCCGAGGAGCAUGCCUGUUUGAGUGUCAUGAAAUCUUCAACCCACCUCUUUCUUAGUGAAUCUGGUGGUGCUUGGUUUCUGAGCGCUGCUCUGCUUCGGCUUAGCUCGUUCGUAAUGCAUUAGCAUCCGCAACCGAAACUUCGGAUUGACUUGGCGUAAUAGACUAUUCGCUGAGGAUUCCAGACUUGUUCUGGAGCCGAGUUGGGUUAAAGGAAGCUUCUAAUCCUAAAGUCUAUUUUUUGAUUAGAUCUCAAAUCAGGUAGGACUACCCGCUGAACUUAAGCAUAUCAAUAAGCGGAGGAA